Capra hircus (goat) is the source of this 1636-nucleotide long non-coding RNA. RefSeq annotates it as Dexi homolog. The transcript has 2 exons. The record is from RefSeq and is a predicted model, not a curated record. NCBI's taxonomy places the organism in Eukaryota, Metazoa, Chordata, Mammalia, Artiodactyla, Bovidae.
CAAUGAGCGCGGGGCUGCUCCGGAGGCAGUGCUCCGAACGCGACCUGGAGGGCUACGCGGCGGCUGCAGUUAUGGGCGCUGCGCCUUCGCGGGUGCCGGGCGGGAUCAAGGAACGGCCGGGAGCGGCUGAGGAGACCGUCGCCGGGACUGGCCCUUGACGCUGAGUCGCGGUGGGGAGAGUCCCCGCAGGCGCCUCGAGGGCCAGUGAGCGGAAGCCGGGAGCAUCAGAGGAGCCCGGGGCAGCCGCCGGCCACUUCGGGGAGGGGGUGGGGGGGCCCAGCCUGACCGCUGGAAGGGUCGACAGUGCGGUGUGGCCUCCUCUGCGGGUGGGGUGACCCGCCUGGCACCUCUCAGGGGCCGGGGCGCGUCCGCAGGGACCGACGCACAUCUCUUGAGGGCACGCCGCCGGGGCCCAGGGCCGCCUGGGCCAGCCCCGGGGAGCCCCUGGAUGGCUGAGCUGCCCCCGCGCCGGCCGCCCGGGCGCCGCAGCGGCUGAGCUCGCCGGGAUCGCCGGGCCGCCGCCCGCCGCCCUCGCCACCCGCUGCAUGCCCGGCGCCCGGGUAGCGGCCCACCUGGACGCUCUGGGCCCCCUGGUCCCCUCCGUGCCGCCGCCGCUCCUGCCCUCUAUGUUCUACGUGGGCCUGUUCUUCGUCAACGUGCUGAUCCUGUACUACGCCUUCCUCAUGGAGUACAUCGUCCUCAACGUGGGCCUCGUCUUCCUGCCCGAGGACAUGGACCAGGCGCUCGUGGACCUCGGCGUGCUCUCCGACCCCGGCUCAGGCCUCUACGACGCGGACUCGGAGCUCGACGUCUUCGAUGGUUACUUGGAGUAGGCUCGGCUGCCUUCCCCCGCCGCUCUCCCCACGACCCGCAACCGUCGGCCCGGACCGGGGCCCAGGUCAUGCAGCUGCUGUUGAUUGAGGGCACCGCCUGGCCAGGGAUGGGACCCCCAGGACGAGGCCCGCUCCGGCCUCCGAGGCCUGCCUGCUCCCCUCAAAAGCUCCGUGCCAACAGAGAGGUUCCAGUCCGGGCCCAGGACGGUGGGACAGAGAGAUUGAGAAUGGACGCCAAGGUCCGGGAGGCACGUGCCCCCGCCCAGAGGGUGAGGCAGGGGUGCCCGGAGACCUCGCCUGCCUGCGGCGUCGUGCACACAGCUUCGCCCUGGCUCCUGACCUUCCGCCAUCUCAGUGGAUGUUUACAUGAACCCAGCCAGAGUCAGCCUCCCUGCUUUCCACCCCCGGCUGCAUCUGCUUACCCCACUUAACCUUCGGAGAGAGAGGACACGUCGUAGACGAAAGCGACUCCCAGCUCUGUUUUAUGCCAGUGGAGCUCUAAGCCCGAUGGGAUCUGUCCCGAGUCCAGGCUUAGAUGCAGCGACUUGCUUCCGAGAGAAACUCAGAAGGAAAAGAACACCUGGGGGGCUGAGGGUGGGGUUUGGACUCAUUCAUUUCAAGUUGUUUGCUUGCCAUCAAGUUGCCAGAACUGAUACAUUGUGCCAGGGGUGGGGACAGCCACUCCUCCAGCCAGAAAUAUUUUUUGAAAAUGUGAGUGGUAUGAAUACUUGACUUCGAUAAACCUGUAAAAGCAAUACUUAGGAGGCUAACUUCUUUCAAUUAAAAAAUGUAUGCAACUCCAA